GACAGAGGGUGCGAACGUUGCUCGGAAUUACUGGGCGUAAAGCGUGUGCAGGCGGUCGCGUACGUCGGAUGUGAAAGCCCGGGGCUCAACCCCGGAAGUGCACCCGAUACGGCGCGACUGGAGUGGCGGAGAGGAGCGCGGAAUUCCCGGUGUAGAGGUGAAAUUCGUAGAUAUCGGGAGGAACACCAGUGGCGCAGGCGGCGCUCUGGACGCACACUGACGCUGAGACACGAAAGCGUGGGGAGCAAACAG
This 252-nucleotide ribosomal RNA is filed under the name uncultured bacterium. Its description in RNAcentral is "partial 16S ribosomal RNA". It matches the Rfam family "Bacterial small subunit ribosomal RNA", at positions 524 to 775 of the family's 1533-position model. The record is from RNAcentral.